Molecule: ribosomal RNA, 492 nt
Filed under: uncultured bacterium
Lineage: Bacteria
Description: partial 16S ribosomal RNA
Rfam family: Bacterial small subunit ribosomal RNA
Source: RNAcentral
AGUGAACGCUGGCGGUAGGCCUAACACAUGCAAGUCGAACGGCAGCACAGUAAGAGCUUGCUCUUACGGGUGGCGAGUGGCGGACGGGUGAGGAAUACGUCGGAAUCUACUUUUUCGUGGGGGAUAACGUAGGGAAACUUACGCUAAUACCGCAUACGACCUACGGGUGAAAGCAGGGGAUCUUCGGACCUUGCGCGAUUGAAUGAGCCGAUGUCGGAUUAGCUAGUUGGCGGGGUAAAGGCCCACCAAGGCGACGAUCCGUAGCUGGUCUGAGAGGAUGAUCAGCCACACUGGAACUGAGACACGGUCCAGACUCCUACGGGAGGCAGCAGUGGGGAAUAUUGGACAAUGGGCGCAAGCCUGAUCCAGCCAUACCGCGUGGGUGAAGAAGGCCUUCGGGUUGUAAAGCCCUUUUGUUGGGAAAGAAAAGCAGCAGGUUAAUACCCCGCUGUUCUGACGGUACCCAAGGAAUAAGCACCGGCUAACUUCGUG